Molecule: long non-coding RNA, 1084 nt
Organism: Homo sapiens (human)
Lineage: Eukaryota; Metazoa; Chordata; Mammalia; Primates; Hominidae
Source: Ensembl
GAGUAGCUGGGACUGCAGGCGCCCGCCACCAUGCCUGGCUAAUUUUUUGUAUGUUUAGUAGAGACGGGGUUUCACCGUGUUAGCCAGGAUGGUCUCUAUCUCCUGACCUUGUGAUCUGCCUGCCUCGGCCUCCCGAAGUGCCGGGAUUACAAGCGUGAGCCACCAUUCCCGGCCCAAAGAGGAGAAGAAGUAUGAAGUGCUUGCUUGGACCUUUCUACUGUGCUUAUUAUUCUGUCUUCUCCUCAUGGCAAAUGCUUCCUGUCCUUGAACAUCAGACUUCAAGUUCUUCAGUUUUGGGACUUGGACUGGCCCCUUGCUCCUCAGCUUCCCAAUGGCCUACUGUGGGACCUUGUGAUCAUAAGCUGACAAACGGUUUAUAUCAGAAGGUGGAAUCGUGGGUAUGGUCGAUGUGGCAGGUCCUAAACAUAAAUUGGAUUUCUUUUUUAUUUUCAUUUAUUAAAUACAGAAGAAAUAUUUCGCUGAAGACACAGGAAACCCUAUUUUGUAUAAACGAGGGAUUGCAAGAGAUUGUUGGAAGAUCAAAGAUGGGUGAAUUGGAGCUCUUCCUGAGAACAAAAAGGAUUUAUGAAGGAAAAAGCAGCUAAUCAAAGAAGUUCUGAGUUUAAAUUCUGUUUUGUCCACUUACUAGCCAUUUGGCCUUGGGCAAGUCACUUUACUGGACCUCAGUUUCCUUGUAUGUGAAAGGUUUUGGUAAAAAUCAUAUUAGUUAAAGAAUGUAAAGAGUUUUAUAAAUUACAAAGUGAUUAAAAAAAGUAAAAUGUAUUGUUGUUUAGGAACAAUGAAAAAAAAAGAAACCUUGACAUUUUUUCUUCAAGUUCUUGCCUAAAAUGUUUAUUUGUUUGGCCCUUUUUAGAUUUAACAAAUUCUAUGUGUCUAAAUAUCAGUGUAGACCCCUUCUUACCCUACUGGAUUUAUAAGGUACUAAAAGUAGAUAUGCAUCUCUUCUGUCUUGGUUCGCUCUAAAAUGGGAUGUUUGCAAACCUCUUGGUUUUUCUUUUUUAAUAUGGAUGAAGCUUAUAUUAAUUUUUGGCUUGGUAUUAAAUUUUGUUUGGAAUAUUAUUAA